This 22-nucleotide microRNA is filed under the name Ornithorhynchus anatinus (platypus). RNAcentral's name for it is "oan-miR-1325". Lineage: Eukaryota; Metazoa; Chordata; Mammalia; Monotremata; Ornithorhynchidae. The record is from miRBase by way of RNAcentral.
UGGAGGUUUCUGGCCCGGCUGG